CAAUCUACCUAUAACUGGGGAACAACUCCUCGAAGAGGAGCUAACACCGCAUAACAUCACGAGACGGCAUCGCCUUGUGAUCAAAACUCAGGUGGUUAUAGAUGAGCAUGCGCAACAUUAGCUAGUUGGUGAGGUAACGGCUCACCAAGGCAACGAUGUUUAGGGGGUCUGAGAGGAUGAUCCCCCCACACUGGUACUGAGACACGGACCAG
This 212-nucleotide ribosomal RNA is filed under the name uncultured bacterium. RNAcentral describes it as "partial 16S ribosomal RNA". It matches the Rfam family "Bacterial small subunit ribosomal RNA", at positions 122 to 334 of the family's 1533-position model. The record is from RNAcentral.